Long non-coding RNA from Olea europaea var. sylvestris, 1594 nucleotides. RefSeq lists it as uncharacterized. The record is from RefSeq and is a predicted model, not a curated record. The transcript has 2 exons. Lineage: Eukaryota; Viridiplantae; Streptophyta; Magnoliopsida; Lamiales; Oleaceae.
GGAGAAAUCAAAAUCUUUCUCAUUUAGUGUCUGGACAAGUUUGCUUGUUGAGACACUGCAAAUGUCCAGAAUUCCGAAAUUCAAUGUCAUCCUUACUUUUUUUCUAUGGGACUUACUUGUGUGACAACUAGGUCGAAAUUAGUACAUCUUUGCAAAUUUUUCAAUGACAAUUUCUCUAGAGUUUGUUUCUAGCUCUAACCGCUAGAUAAUGGAGUUGAAAAUCAAGUAGGAUUGUUGUGUAAUUGGUCUCCGUAGGAUGUUUAUCCUUGCCCAUUUUAUCUAACUUAUGCCUCUUUACACCUGCCAAUUUCAGCAGAUAAUUAAAUUAUCAUUUUUGAAUAUUUUGUUUUAGAUUAUGAUUAAAUAUUUUGCCUCUAGUGUUCCCUUUCUUCUUCUCCUACUGUCUUGUUAUUUAUAUUUUUCGUAAGUGUGUUGUGGUGCUUUUGGUUAUGUUCUUAUGCAUAUAAUUCCAAUGAGAAGAAUAUUUUUUAGAAAAAUGGAAUCUGUGGUUAUAUUUUGGUUAAGUUGUUAAUAUUUGUUCAUUAUCUUCAUUAGAGGUAAGAAUAUGGAAACAAUGUCAUUGUCCAAUCAGAACAAACACCUUUUUGUUGGCAUAUUUUACAAUAAUGUGAAAGCAAGAAAGUUGCAAUGUUCCACGUUUACAUAAAAAAUUAUAAAGGCAAGAUCAAUCAAGAUAUGAUUGUUGCUACAAAAUCUGAUUAUGGGAUAGAGAGAUUCAAGGGUAAGUGAAACCAUUUACGUGAGGUGCAUCGCUUGUUCUCUGACCUUUUCUGGCGUACAGGUGUUACAUGGGAUCCAAAUACCAACCAAGUGAAUGCUACAAAAGAAGUUUGGCAACACUUUUUUCAUGACAUCAGGAAGGAAGGAUGUAAGCACUGUGAAUUACUUGGAGUGACUUUUAGUGGGACCACAACUACUGGAGGUCUAGGCAAUGCUUCUACUCAGCUAAUUUGAAUGUCAGAGGAAGAAAGACGGAUAGAAAAUGAGUUUUUGAGAAGUGGAGUGCAUGUACGCGUGGAAAAUGAUGAUGGUGAAGUUUCAAAUAUUCAUUAAUGUGAUGAUACUACACCCAACAAACGCCAACAUAAGGAACUCAAAAUCAAUAAAGGUGAAAAACUUGAGGAAUUUAUGGCAUAAUGGUCCUCUACUGUUAGUACGAAGAAAGAGGAAACAGAACUUAGGAUGCUAUACCUUAAAAAAAAAGCUUGCCCAAAUCCAAGAAAAAUCAUCUAAUUACAAGGGCACUAGUGAAGUUACUCGUCCAGACCCUUAUUCAAAUAUGGAGUGUUUGAACAUCUUAAACAAUAUGGAAGGUAGUGUCUAAUGAGAUUUACAUGAAAGCAAUAAAGCCUUUUAAGGAUCUAGAUUUCAGGAUGACAUUUGUGAUGAUGCCAAAAAUUAGGAGAUGACCUAUCUUGGAACUUCUUUAAUUUGCCUGAUUGGUCAGGUUGAGUAUUUUGAACUUUCAAUAUAAGAUUGUGUUUUCUUCAUAUAUUAAUUGUGAAUUUUGUAAUUCUCAAGAUUUACUAGUAGUUUUAUUUUAAUAGAUGUAUUGGAUUUUGAUAUUAAUAUA